Molecule: long non-coding RNA, 298 nt
Filed under: Physcomitrium patens
Lineage: Eukaryota; Viridiplantae; Streptophyta; Bryopsida; Funariales; Funariaceae
Description: long non-coding RNA (PPAT_LNC008950)
Source: RNAcentral
GUAAUUGGAUUAAAGAAUAAAUUUUACACUCACAAUUAAGAUUAGAAUUUGCUUGGAAUUUGAUUUAGAACUUGAUUAAAGGUUGAUUAAGAUUUGUUUAGAAUUUAUCUAGAAUUUAGGAUUUUAUUAGAAUUUCAUUAAGAUUUGAUCUAAGAUUUGGUUAAGAUUUAAUUAGGGUUUCAAUUAAGAUUUGAUUUAGGAAUUGAUUUAGAUUUAAUUAUGAUUUUUAAUUUUAAUAUUUUUAAGGAUUUUUGAUUGCUUCUUUAAAAAAAUUUAUUUCUAAUAUUUCUUUAAUAUU